GUGACCAUGUUCAACGGCCGCGGUAUCCUAACCGUGCGAAGGUAGCGUAAUCACUUGUUCUUUAAAUAAGGACUAGUAUGAAUGGCACCACGAAGGUUACACUGUCUCCUCUCUCUAAUCAGUGAAACUAAUCUUCCCGUGAAGAAGCGGGAAUCCUUACAUAAGACGAGAAGACCCUAUGGAGCUUUAAACGAAAUAACAAUUACCAUUACAUAUAAUAAUUCCAGAAGACUUACCCCCCACCCCGGUACCAUGUCUAUUAGUUUUAGGUUGGGGUGACCGCGGAGCAAAAACCAACCUCCACAUUGAACAGAAGCUUAUUCUAAACAAAAAGCCACAACUUUAUGUAUCAGCAUACUGACAUUAAUUGACCCAACAAUUUGACCAACGAACCAAGUUACCCUAGGGAUAACAGCGCAAUCCAUUUCAAGAGCCCCUAUCGACAAAUGGGUUUACGACCUCGAUGUUGGAUCAGGGUAACCAAGUGGUGCAGCCGCUACUAAAGGUUCGUUUGUUCAACGAUUAAAA
RNAcentral lists this ribosomal RNA (528 nucleotides) under Proceratophrys redacta. RNAcentral's name for it is "partial 16S ribosomal RNA". It matches the Rfam family "Bacterial large subunit ribosomal RNA", at positions 1914 to 2593 of the family's 2925-position model. The record is from RNAcentral. Lineage: Eukaryota; Metazoa; Chordata; Amphibia; Anura; Alsodidae.